This 520-nucleotide unclassified non-coding RNA is filed under the name uncultured Diversispora. RNAcentral's name for it is "SSU rRNA". It matches the Rfam family "Eukaryotic small subunit ribosomal RNA", at positions 569 to 1090 of the family's 1831-position model. Lineage: Eukaryota; Fungi; Glomeromycota; Glomeromycetes; Diversisporales; Diversisporaceae. The record is from RNAcentral.
AGCAGCCGCGGUAAUUCCAGCUCCAAUAGCGUAUAUUAAAGUUGUUGCAGUUAAAAAGCUCGUAGUUGAACUUCGGGGUUUACUCAUUGGUCAGGCUUAAUUGUCUGUACUGGUGAGAUGAAUCUCUACCUUCUGAGGAACUUUCAUGCCAUUUAUUUGGUGUGAUUGGAAAUCAGGACUGUUACUUUGAAAAAUUAGAGUGUUUAAAGCAGGCUAACGUCUGAAUACAUUAGCAUGGAAUAAUGAAAUAGGACGGAUUGAUUCUAUUUCGUUGGUUUCUAGGGUCACCGUAAUGAUUAAUAGGGAUAGUUGGGGGCAUUAGUAUUCAAUUGUCAGAGGUGAAAUUCUUGGAUUUAUUGAAGACUAACUACUGCGAAAGCAUUUGCCAAGGAUGUUUUCAUUAAUCAAGAACGAAAGUUAGGGGACCGAAGACGAUCAGAUACCGUCGUAGUCUUAACCAUAAACUAUGCCGACUAGGGAUCGGACGAAGUUAAUUAAUAAUGACGCGUUCGGCACCUUA